GUCUAUUUGGAGAUAUAAAUAGUCUGGCCUGCUCACUGAUCUAAUAGAUUUAAGAGCCGCGGUAUUUUGACCGUGCAAAGGUAGCAUAAUCAUUAGUUUUUUAAUUGGAAACUUGUAUGAAUGGUUGGACAAAGGAAAAGCUGUCUCUAUUAUAAAAAUUGAAAUUAACUUUUAAGUGAAAAGGCUUAAAUAUUUCAAGGGGACGAUAAGACCCUAUAAAGCUUUAUAAAUUGGUUAAGUUUUAUUAAUUUUAAUAAUAAAGAUUUAAUUUAAUUGUUUUAUUUUAUUGGGGCGAUAAAAAUAUAAAUUAUAUUAACUGUUUAAAAAUUAUACAAUAAUAAGUGAAUAUAAGAAAUUAAAAGAUCCUUUUUAAUGAUUUAAAGACUAAG
RNAcentral lists this ribosomal RNA (389 nucleotides) under Brachyura sp. 2013Kma OTU1. RNAcentral describes it as "partial 16S ribosomal RNA". Lineage: Eukaryota; Metazoa; Arthropoda; Malacostraca; Decapoda. The record is from RNAcentral.